Non-coding RNA from Plectropomus leopardus (leopard coralgrouper), 726 nucleotides. NCBI's taxonomy places the organism in Eukaryota, Metazoa, Chordata, Actinopteri, Perciformes, Serranidae. The record is from RefSeq and is a predicted model, not a curated record.
GCGAGGAAAACAAAAAGGAAAGUUAGGACUUAAAGUCCUCGAGGUUUUUCAGCGUUGAAACAUGAAACAGCAGAACCAAAGAGACACGAGCCGCUCUGCAGGUGAAGCUGCAGGUUGAAGCUGUUGCGUCACAGACUCGGUCUGCAGGACGCGGACAAACUGGACCUGCAGCUCUUUUCCUGUUUGUUUCCCUUCAGAUCGACAUCAUGGCUGAGACGCGCGGAGCGACGGCGCGGGGCAGGAAGAAAUGGGCCGUUCCACAGAGGACCGCAGCUGAGGAAAAUAAAACAAGUGUUCGUCCUCCUGACAGAGACGCUGAGAGAAAUCUGGCGGUUCCUUUCAGAGGUCACAUCACAGACGGGAUGCGGCCGGGGAAGAAGGUCGUACUGGUGGGUGUUGUGGACUCCUGUCCUGACAGGUAAAAAUAUGUUCACAUAACUUAUUUUUUUAUUUAUUUUUUUAAAUGAAUCCAUCCCCUUCUCCUCAGUAUCAACACAUCACUAUUAACGGGAUAUUCAUGGUCCCCAGAGAAUAAAUUUAAAACGACAACAAAGACACAAAAUUGCUACAAAACCACAAAAAACAUCACAACAAAGGGACAGAAAACAACCACAAAAAGUAAACUGAUCUCAAAACAAUUACAUGGAGUGACAAUACAGUCUCAAACAGACACACAAAAACAACACAAAAUGUCCUCGAAAACAAAAAAAUAACCACAAAAUCACA